This 32-nucleotide non-coding RNA is filed under the name Geobacter sulfurreducens KN400. Lineage: Bacteria; Pseudomonadati; Thermodesulfobacteriota; Desulfuromonadia; Geobacterales; Geobacteraceae. The record is from RNAcentral.
CUGCCGCGGGAACUCCACUGCCAUCCGCUCCU